GAUGCACAAUGGCGCGCUCUCUCUCUCUCCCCCUCCUCGCCUGCACAACCAGCAUAUCCGCGUAGUUGCAGUUGUAUUGUUCCGGCGAAGCAUGUGGGGUUUAUGGGGCUUUUGUGGGGCUAAUCGUGAACAAGGAGUAAUCAGACGGCAACGGCAUUGAGGACGGCGACGACGCAACUCUUGUAUCAGAGGUAAUUUCUUCUGGGUUUUGGAGACUCGAGUUUUGGUGGUUUUGAUUAUACUACCUGUGUAUGGAUAUAUAUGGAUGUGUUUGUAUAUAACUGUGUAGAGCCCUAAUCUUGAUUUGGGUUUCUAAGCAAAUUAUGGGUUUGUGGUGCCGGUGAAGACGAACAGAAUGAGCAAAUUGUGGGUUUUCAAAGAGAGAGAGAAGCAAUGCCGGAGAAAGGGUGGAAAACUAGAAAUGGGUCGUUUUUCUUUUUAUCAGAGCUGGAAAUGGGUUUUGAAUAGCCCAAUUGCUUAGGUUGUUGGGUUCUGGAUUUUUGUAAGGGCUAGCUAAACACUAAUUUUGGCCUUUUGGGUAGUCUUUUGGCCUAGAAUUGGAUUGAGUCUAUUGGAGAUGCUCUCACAACACAGAUGCACACAUACCCACUUUUCUCUCUCUCCGCCCAUGGUUACCAUGCGUCUGGAUUCUUCUUUGGGUUGUGCUCAAGGCAUUCUUCUUGACACGGAAAAAAAGGGCUAGGAUUUCUCAACUGGUACAAAGAGAAAGCUCAAGAAAAAAAAUCAUUACACUAGAUUAGUUUUGUUAUAAUUCCAUUGUAGUGAUUUCCCAUUAGAACGGCUCCAUUAUAAUUAGUUUUGUUAUUGAGUUCGCGUGUAUUACAAUUUCCUUGAAGUAUGUGUUAUAGAUCUGAGAUUCUGUUUGCCAAAGUUUAAGGAAUUGUUGUUAUCUUAAUCAUCAUUACCAGUUAUCUGUGUUUGAAACCGGAGUUUCUCCAGAUUUCUGGAUUUCUGAUUAAGAAUUUUUGUUAUGUUAACCAUUAGUAUUUUGUGAUGUGUUGAUUUUUGAAUAUUUACUUCUUUGUGGCUGCUUGAACGGAUGUAUGGAAUAUAUGCAUCCUAUCUUCACGUGUUUUUUUUUUAUCGGCAUAAAAAUUUAUUAAAACUCGACAAAGGGUACAUCGAGGGUUUUUAGAAGUCAUAUCCAAGCCUCAUUAGGAAGAUGGGACAAGGAAAAUGACCAAAGGAAAAUAAAAGAAAAAAUUACAUCCAAAAGGGAAUUGAAACUGGAGCUCUCAUCAAAGAAUACAUCUUGAUGUUGAAGUGUCAUGCAUCUAAGUUGUUGGGAGGGAUCCUACAAAGCUUCAAACAGUGAAGGCAUGAGGCUUUAAGAUCCCUACGGACAAUUCCAGGGCUAGCAUCUUGAAACAGUAGUGAAUCUCAAAGGGGAGCAGAUUCAAUAUUAGUUUGAAGGCAUGCCACAAUUUGCAGGGCAAGGGCAAGCUUUAGGUGGAUUGAUACCAAAAUUUGGAUUGCAACUCUAAGUUGUGGCAAAAAUUAUUCCAAAACUUGGUUGGGCAGAGCCAAACUUGCUGCAAAAAUAGCCAAAACUUGCAGCAACCAGCUCUGAUGUAGUAGGGAUGGAGUAGUGACUUCAAGCUUGGUACAAGAUAUCCACAAUUUCGCUUAAAGCGGGGGAUGGAGUAGUGGCUUCAAGCGGGGCGACGGUGUGUGACUCGACUUUAUUUUUCCUCGCCGCCCCGCCUCACCGAAUCUAACAACUCCCCCCAAAAGCCCCACAAAUCAAUUAAUUUCUAGUCUCUGACUGAACAAAUUAAUUGAUUUGUACGACUCCAAAAUUUUGAUUCAUUUUAUGUAUUGUUUGGCUGGGUAUCUUAACCAUUGAUUUUUGGUGAAUGUUGUUAUGUUGCAUGCAAGUGGGUUAUCUUCUUAAAAUCAAGCCUUCUGUUUACUACCAAGUAAUAUGAACUUUCAAUAGAGAAUAUACGUGUGUAGGUACAAUCUUUAUCUCUCUUAAGUUAUCUCUGAUUCUUCCUUUUCCAAGAAUUUUUUUGUUGCUUCUUAUUUUAUUGUUUCUAUUACAUUGGGGCAACAAUGUGUAACUUUGUGUGUUACUAUACUUAAUAGACCAGUCAUUUUGGUUUUGGAGUGCUUUGUUGGCAAAUGAAACCCAUGAAUUAUGUAUAGCAAAUCCUUAGAAUGUAUUUAUUUAGAUCAUAAAGCAUGUAGAUGGUUUUACUGGAGAGAAACUUCAUGUAAUUGGAGAUUGUUCAUCAUCGAACUAAAAUUCCUAAAUUUCUGAACAACCGGAGUGUAGGUUGGUAGUAUUAUUGAUCUAUUAACCUUAUGUGCGAUGAUCAUAUACAUGAUUAGUAAGUAAUCAGAGCUUAGAUUUUUUAUUAUCAUCUGCAGUUUCAAAAAUGAUUGGAUGUGCCUAUAUAAUAAUCUUCUAUGCUUACUUUAAUGGUAUUUCCUCAUUGAACUCAAUGUCAUGUUUUUGUUAUUUGUAUGAUGCGGAUAGUGCAAGUCUUGUUUUAUUUUGAGAACUGAAAGUAGGAUUUUCUUACUUCAAUUUUAAUGGGUUGUCAUAAGAUUUUAUUCAUUGAUUUUUAUAGAGAUUAAAUUCUUUCCACCAGCGGCGGAAAAAAGGGUGGAUUUUCCACCACCGCCGUUGUAGGCCCUACCGUGCGUCUAUUAUUAUAAUCUAAACUGUAGUUAUGUAUUUAAGAAUUCUAUAAACCCAUGUUUGAACGUGUACCGUAUGCACCCCUUGAAUCGCUUUGAGUUCAUAAUGCAUGCAUAAAAGUUCAUAGCAUUAAAC
This is a long non-coding RNA of Rhododendron vialii, 2803 nucleotides long. RefSeq lists it as uncharacterized. NCBI's taxonomy places the organism in Eukaryota, Viridiplantae, Streptophyta, Magnoliopsida, Ericales, Ericaceae. The transcript has 2 exons. The record is from RefSeq and is a predicted model, not a curated record.